UGGGGAAUCUUGGACAAUGGGCGCAAGCCUGAUCCAGCCAUGCCGCGUGAGUGAAGAAGGCCUUAGGGUUGUAAAGCUCUUUUAGCAGGGAAGAUAAUGACGGUACCUGCAGAAAAAGCCCCGGCUAACUCCGUGCCAGCAGCCGCGGUAAUACGGAGGGGGCUAGCGUUGUUCGGAAUUACUGGGCGUAAAGAGCGCGUAGGUGGUUUAUCAAGUCAGGUGUGAAAGCCCGAGGCUUAACCUCGGAAUAGCACUUGAAACUAGUAAGCUAGAAGUCAGUAGGGGGUAGUGGAAUUCCCAGUGUAGAGGUGAAAUUCGUAGAUAUUGGGAGGAACACCGGAGGCGAAGGCGGCUACCUGGACUGAACUUGACACUGAGGCGCGAAAGCGUGGGGAGCAAACAGG
Molecule: ribosomal RNA, 404 nt
Filed under: uncultured bacterium
Lineage: Bacteria
Description: bacterial SSU rRNA
Rfam family: Bacterial small subunit ribosomal RNA
Source: RNAcentral